GAUGAAGAACGUAGCGAAAUGCGAUAAGUAAUGUGAAUUGCAGAAUUCAGUGAAUCAUCGAGUCUUUGAACGCACAUUGCGCCCCCUGGUAUUCCGGGGGGCAUGCCUGUCCGAGCGUCAUUGCUGCCCUCAAGCACGGCUUGUGUGUUGGGCCUCCGUCCUCCUCCCGGGGGACGGGCCCGAAAGGUAGCGGCGGCACCGCGUCCGGUCCUCGAGCGUAUGGGGCUUCGUCACCCGCUCUUGUAGGCCCGGCCGGCGCUUGCCGACACAUCAAUCUUUUUUCCAGGUUGACCUCGGAUCAGGUAGGGAUACCCGCUGAACUUAAGCAUAUCAAUAAGCGGAGGA
This 345-nucleotide unclassified non-coding RNA is filed under the name soil metagenome. Its description in RNAcentral is "partial contains 5.8S ribosomal RNA, internal transcribed spacer 2, and large subunit ribosomal RNA". The stretch from base 1 to 120 matches the Rfam family "5.8S ribosomal RNA", at positions 35 to 154 of the family's 154-position model. The record is from RNAcentral.